RNAcentral lists this ribosomal RNA (438 nucleotides) under Triticum aestivum (bread wheat). Its description in RNAcentral is "partial small subunit ribosomal RNA". The record is from RNAcentral. Lineage: Eukaryota; Viridiplantae; Streptophyta; Magnoliopsida; Poales; Poaceae.
AUGACUAGGGAUAACCUUAGGAAGAGACACAUCAUCAAACCCCAUGAUUGUGUUUACUGCUUGGAAUAAGAGUCUUGUUCUCACCUAUUUUUUGAAUGUAUAGUUGCUAAACAUCUCUAGGCCCACAUUGAGGAAUAUUUCUCUAGUCAGAUUGGCUCAUCCUUCAAAUCUGUCGCCAGAUUCUGGAUUGCUACAAAAAAGUGCUCAGUUUUAAACACUGUUAGCUCAGCUGUCCUUUGGUGCCUCUGGAAAUAUAGAAAUGUUAUGAUUUUCAGUAACACCUCCUGGAUUUCCAUUCCGCAGGUCUUGAGGUUGAUCAGGAACAUGGUGAGGAACUGGGCGAUUCUCUCCUCCGGAUCGGACAAGGACAAGUUGAUGAGCUUCAUGGAAACCCUAACAAGAUCCCUCCAGAAACCGUUGGCGAUCACUUGUGGCUGA